AAGUCGUAACAAGGUUUCCGUAGGUGAACCUGCGGAAGGAUCAUUAAAAAAUUUCAAUCGAGAAUUUAUUCUUGUUUUGAAUUAUCCAACCUUUUUUAUCCACCUUUAAAUCUUUGUCUGAAAACUCUUUCUUAUUUCGCAAGAAAUAGAAAAUUGUAACCAAAUACAACUUUUAACAAUGGAUCUCUUGGCUCUC
RNAcentral lists this unclassified non-coding RNA (196 nucleotides) under fungal sp. RNAcentral describes it as "partial contains small subunit ribosomal RNA, internal transcribed spacer 1, and 5.8S ribosomal RNA". The stretch from base 1 to 46 matches the Rfam family "Eukaryotic small subunit ribosomal RNA", at positions 1786 to 1831 of the family's 1831-position model. The record is from RNAcentral. Lineage: Eukaryota; Fungi.